UGGUCUUGACAUCCACAGAACUUAGCAGAGAUGCUUUGGUGCCUUCGGGAACUGUGAGACAGGUGCUGCAUGGCUGUCGUCAGCUCGUGUUGUGAAAUGUUGGGUUAAGUCCCGCAACGAGCGCAACCCUUAUCCUUUGUUGCCAGCGGUCCGGCCGGGAACUCAAAGGAGACUGCCAGUGAUAAACUGGAGGAAGGUGGGGAUGACGUCAAGUCAUCAUGGCCCUUACGACCAGGGCUACACACGUGCUACAAUGGCAUAUACAAAGAGAAGCGACCUCGCGAGAGCAAGCGGACCUCAUAAAGUAUGUCGUAGUCCGGAUUGGAGUCUGCAACUCGACUCCAUGAAGUCGGAAUCGCUAGUAAUCGUAGAUCAGAAUGCUACGGUGAAUACGUUCCCGGGCCUUGUACACACCGCCCGUCACACCAUGGGAGUGGGUUGCAAAAGAAGUAGGUAGCUUAACCUUCGGGAGGGCGCUUACCACUUUGUGAUUCAUGACUGGGGUGAAGUCGUAACAAGGUAACCGUAGGGGAACCUGCGGUUGGAUCACCUCCUU
Molecule: ribosomal RNA, 556 nt
Filed under: Klebsiella pneumoniae
Lineage: Bacteria; Pseudomonadati; Pseudomonadota; Gammaproteobacteria; Enterobacterales; Enterobacteriaceae
Description: bacterial SSU rRNA
Rfam family: Bacterial small subunit ribosomal RNA
Source: RNAcentral